UGAGGCGCGAAAGCUAGGGGAGCGAACAGGAUUAGAUACCCCUGGUAGUCCUAGCCGUAAACGUUGGGUGCUAGGUGUGGGCGGAUAUCGACCCCGUCCGUGCCGAAGCUAACGCAUUAAGCACCCCGCCUGGGGAGUACGGCCGCAAGGCUAAAACUCAAAGGAAUUGACGGGGGCCCGCACAAGCGGCGGAGCAUGCGGCUUAAUUCGAUGCAACGCGAAGAACCUUACCUGGGCUUGACAUGCAGGGCAAAGCCGGUGAAAGCCGGCGCUCUACGGAGCCUGCACAGGUGGUGCAUGGCUGUCGUCAGCUCGUGCCGUGAGGCGUUGCCUUAAGUGGCGCAACGAGCGCAACCCUUGUCCCUAGUUGCCAGCGGAUCAUGCCGGGAACUCUAGGGAGACUGCCGGUGCCAAACCGGAGGAAGGUGGGGAUGACGUCAAGUCAUCAUGCCCCUUAUGUCCAGGGCUGCACGCAUGCUACAAUGGCGCGGUACAAAGGGCUGCGAUCCCGCAAGGGGGAGCGAAUCCCAAAAAGCCGCGCUCAGUUCGGAUCGGGGUCUGCAACCCGACCCCGUGAAGUCGGAG
RNAcentral lists this ribosomal RNA (585 nucleotides) under uncultured Actinomycetes bacterium. RNAcentral describes it as "bacterial SSU rRNA". It matches the Rfam family "Bacterial small subunit ribosomal RNA", at positions 747 to 1331 of the family's 1533-position model. The record is from RNAcentral. Lineage: Bacteria; Bacillati; Actinomycetota; Actinomycetes.